GACUAACGCUGGCGGCGUGCCUAACACAUGCAAGUCGAACGGGGUAGCAAUACCCAGUGGCAGACGGGUGAGUAACGCGUAGAUAAUGUGCCCUCUUGCGGGGGAUACCGUUUCGAAAGGAACGUUAAUACCGCAUAAAGCCGUCGAAGGGCAUCCUUUGACGGGCAAACUGGUUCUAGGGCGAGAGGAGCAAUCUGCGUACUAUCAGCUAGUUGGUGAGGUAAUGGCUCACCAAGGCACGACGGUUAACUGGUCUGAGAGGAUGAUCAGUCACACUGGAACUGAGACACGGUCCAGACUCCUACGGGAGGCAGCAGUGAGGAAUAUUGCGCAAUGGGGGAAACCCUGAACGCAGCGACGCCGCGUGGAGGAUGAAGGCC
This 380-nucleotide ribosomal RNA is filed under the name uncultured bacterium. Its description in RNAcentral is "bacterial SSU rRNA". It matches the Rfam family "Bacterial small subunit ribosomal RNA", at positions 28 to 416 of the family's 1533-position model. The record is from RNAcentral.